CCUACGGGAGACAGCAGUGAGGAAUAUUGGUCAAUGGACGAGAGUCUGAACCAGCCAAGUAGCGUGAAGGAUGACUGCCCUAUGGGUUGUAAACUUCUUUUAUAAAGGAAUAAAACGAGGCACGUGUGCCUUUUUGCAUGUACUUUAUGAAUAAGGAUCGGCUAACUCCGUGCCAGCAGCCGCGGUAAUACGGAGGAUCCGAGCGUUAUCCGGAUUGAUUGGGUUUAAAGGGAGCGUAGAUGGGUUGUUAAGUCAGUUGUGAAAGUUUGCGGCUCAACCGUAAAAUUGCAAUUGAUACUGGCAGUCUUGAGUACAGUUGAGGUAGGCGGAAUUCGUGGUGUAGCGGUGAAAUGCUUAGAUAUCACGAAGAACCCCGAUUGCGAAGGCAGCUUACUAAACUGUGACUGACAUUGAUGCUCGAAAGUGUGGGUAUCAAACAGGAUUAGAUACCCUUGUAGUC
Molecule: ribosomal RNA, 460 nt
Filed under: uncultured bacterium
Lineage: Bacteria
Description: partial 16S ribosomal RNA
Rfam family: Bacterial small subunit ribosomal RNA
Source: RNAcentral